RNAcentral lists this ribosomal RNA (1390 nucleotides) under uncultured bacterium. Its description in RNAcentral is "bacterial SSU rRNA". It matches the Rfam family "Bacterial small subunit ribosomal RNA". The record is from RNAcentral.
AGAGUUUGAUCCUGGCUCAGGAUGAACGCUGGCGGCGUGCUUAACACAUGCAAGUCGAACGAAGCACUCUAUUUGAUUUCCUUCGGGAUUGAUUAUUUUGUGACUGAGUGGCGGACGGGUGAGUAACGCGUGGGUAACCUGCCUCAUACAGGGGGAUAACAGUUGGAAACGACUGCUAAUACCGCAUAAGCGCACAGUACCGCAUGGUACGGUGUGAAAAACUCCGGUGGUAUGAGAUGGACCCGCGUCUGAUUAGCUAGUUGGUGGGGCAACGGCCUACCAAGGCGACGAUCAGUAGCCGACCUGAGAGGGUGACCGGCCACAUUGGGACUGAGACACGGCCCAAACUCCUACGGGAGGCAGCAGUGGGGAAUAUUGCACAAUGGGCGAAAGCCUGAUGCAGCGACGCCGCGUGAGCGAAGAAGUAUUUCGGUAUGUAAAGCUCUAUCAGCAGGGAAGAAUAAUGACGGUACCUGACUAAGAAGCACCGGCUAAAUACGUGCCAGCAGCCGCGGUAAUACGUAUGGUGCAAGCGUUAUCCGGAUUUACUGGGUGUAAAGGGAGCGCAGGCGGUGCGGCAAGUCUGAUGUGAAAGCCCGGGGCUCAACCCCGGUACUGCAUUGGAAACUGUCGUACUAGAGUGUCGGAGGGGUAAGCGGAAUUCCUAGUGUAGCGGUGAAAUGCGUAGAUAUUAGGAGGAACACCAGUGGCGAGGGCGGCUUGCUGGACGACAACUGACGCUGAGGCGCGAAAGCGUGGGGAGCAAACAGGAUUAGAUACCCUGGUAGUCCACGCUGUAAACGAUGAAUACUAGGUGUGGGAGGACUGACCCCUUCCGUGCCGCAGUUAACACAAUAAGUAUUCCACCUGGGGAGUACGACCGCAAGGUUGAAACUCAAAGGAAUUGACGGGGGCCCGCACAAGCGGUGGAUUAUGUGGUUUAAUUCGACGCAACGCGAAGAACCUUACCAGGGCUUGACAUCCUACUAACGAAGUAGAGAUACAUUAGGUACCCUUCGGGGGAAGUAGAGACAGGUGGUGCAUGGUUGUCGUCAGCUCGUGUCGUGAGAUGUUGGGUUAAGUCCCGCAACGAGCGCAACCCCUAUUGUUAGUUGCUACGCAAGAGCACUCUAGCGAGACUGCCGUUGACAAAACGGAGGAAGGCGGGGACGACGUCAAAUCAUCAUGCCCCUUAUGUCCUGGGCUACACACGUAAUACAAUGGCCGUCAACAGAGGGAAGCAAAGCCGCGAGGUGGAGCAAAUCCCUAAAAACGGUCUCAGUUCAGACUGCAGGCUGCAACCCGCCUGCACGAAGUUGGAAUUGCUAGUAAUCGCGGAUCAGCAUGCCGCGGUGAAUAUGUUCCCGGGCUUUGCACUCACCGCCCGUCA